GCUGUGUUGGUUAGUCGUCUUUGUUGGAAGCAAAAGCCAUGAUGUAGACAUCCUUUGAUGUCGGCGUUAGUCGGAGGCCUGGUCCCCCUUUUACCUCAAGGCGCUCGCCAGGUAAACUGUCGGGAGUCGUGUGCCGGGUUGACAGGACACAGCAAGAGGCGGGCUCGCGCUGACUGCUCUCCCCUUUGUGACUCUUAUAUUCCGGAGUCGAGAGUGGCCCUCAUUUUACGCUUGCUCCUCUCGCCACGCCGCUAAUUUGGAACACCUCGCCUGGAAUCGCAUGCAGGAUGAGGCAUGGAAGUUGGAAUGGGAUGAUGGAAAGAAGAAGGACCAAGAGAUACGCAGGUUAUUAUGACGCAGAAUCAGUGGUCGCCUUCAGACGCCAGAGGGUGACCUGCCUUGGCCCGACAUGCGAAGUCACGGCGUCUGUUGUAAACCGAGGACUCCGAGCACAGACCACAUGGCCAUGGGCUCUGCUUUGACUGGUCAGUCAGCGGAAGGAAGACUAAAGACGAAGAUACUAAAAGGCUGUAUCUGGAAAGUGUAUAUAAAAACAGGGGGAAAACAUGGCUCUUGCUGUCUUACCCUGUCACUUUGGGAGAGACAGAGAUGUCGCGACGUUAGUCACACACGUUGAGGAGGUCCGAGAGAGACGCCUCUCCCGGUUGGACAGGUCGAGCAGUACCCCGAUAUUUUGCGUGGUGGAUAUCUUGGGAACUAAUCCCGGUGCCGGAGCGCCCCAGUAUGCGAGCUUCAAGGCUAGUAGUUCGUGCAAUCAACCGAACGACUGCUCGGGAUUUCUGGUGCCAUGCAAGUCCCUUGGCAGAACAUACACUGACUCAUCCACCCCCGCACUCACCCGAUUAUUAGUCAGUCUGCAUGCUGUUCCUCGCUGACCUUACAGCUGGGACCGCUCGCAUUGUUAUAAGUGGUUAUUAAAAGUUGUUGCUCCCACAUUUGAUUUACCCGUAUGUAUGCAUUUACGUAUAUGUUAGAGACGACACAGUGUUACAUGGAUACACAUGAGAAAGAGGCUUUAAACUCAAUCACCGAUGCUGUUGAGAGCAGGGGUGGGAAAACUACGUCCCGCGGCUGCCUUCAAAGGAAAGACUGGUUUUAACGUUUUAUUGUGGGUUUUUGUGUUUUGCUUGAGAUGCCUUUACCUUUAUGCUUAUGCAUAAUAGCUUCGUUUUUUUUAUCCAUCUUUUCUUUUUCCAUUUUCUGUUGUUACUCACAAAUUGAGACAUCAUGUCUCUGGCCAAUGGACAAAGGGCACUGCACUGUCCGUAAGAAUAAGGCGACGAUGGCACCUCCCUGAAAGUACAGGAAAAAUAAAUAGUAAAUUAAAAGCAUGGAGGCGCGUCGACAUUAUGCAAAUUCCCAAUUAAAAACCGUUACAGAAGUGACACUGUCAUUUCAUCAUCUGAAGCCAAAGCACGCGCUAAUAAUUUCGAUUCCACCCUAAACGCGGUCAAACGAAAGACCUUGCAAUCGUUAUAAAUUAAUGAAACUGGGAUUUUACAUACUGGGGAAAAAAAGGGGAGAAAUAAGGGGGGAGAACGAGAGGACGAAUUUUAAUAUUAAUCUGACACCAAGUCAUUCAGUCCCUGUAUAUGCUCCGCGCGUUGCAUGACGAAAGACGUUUCUGGAAGAGGGUCAAAGGUCUCGCGGUCAGAAGGCUGAAGGUCGUAAAUCGGGAGAGAUGUCUUUGUUCAUGUGUAUACAGUAUGAACAGCAAAGGACUGAUACUCCUAAGCAGAUGCACUGAACAUAGCCUAUGCAUCACUGACACAAUGUUCUGUCUCCCACACGAAAACACCUGGAUGCACCCCAGACCUGCCUCUUACGUUUCCAAAACGCUUUAGAGGGGAAAUUUCCCAAAGAAACAUAUCUCACCCAUCUCAAAGACAUGGAUCAAGUUCAGACAAAUGGAUGCAGUUCAAAGAUACAGUCACUGCCAUCGGGAAGGAAAAACACGGUUUAGUCCCGAAUGUCAGCAGGUAGGCGGCUUUGACAAUCUCCCCAUCGCAGAUCGUAGUUGGCGCUUGCUUGGCAAUGGGCAAACCAAAGUUACAAGCUCUUACCAAGCUUGGACGAAUCUUGCGUGCUUUGCUGGGUACAAACAGGUCUCUAUACAAAAGGCACAUCGCACAGGUUUGGUGCCACAAGUUCUUUUUGAGCAUCAGUUCACAGAAGCGGAUACCGAGCACUUUCGCAAGACAAAUUCCAGAGAUAAUUGUGUAUCAUUUGGAAAUGAAAGAGCACUUAAAUUGUUAACUCUCAGAUCUACCUUGUUUAUCAGUCUUUUAGAAGCAUGUUAUACUUCCAUAUAGAUAACGCUUUUAAUUGUUGUUAUUCCAGUGAUUUAUUUCAACAAUUACAGUUUUGUGUGUGUUAUGCAUCACAACUAAUAAGAAAGUAGGGUUGGGGCUGUAAAGACUAUUGAAAAAUGUGAUAACGUAGAAAAUACUACAAUUUGGGCAAUAAGCUUUUUCACUCAGAGAUAGGGAUAUAGUAAAGCAAAAAAAAAAUGUUGCAUCACAUUGACAUUGGGCACCUGCCCAAUCUAUUCCGUGUACAAUAUAAUCAGUGUUAGGUGAAACCAUGCACUGCCUGUCAUGUAUACAUUUUCUUUUCAAAUUUAAUUCAUUUCCAUAAGUGUGAAAUUACUUUUAUGUUAGUUAAUGGGAAUUUUAAAUUUGUUGUACUCACAAAACAGUAUCGUGCCUCUUGGGACAUUUGUCAUUAUUGAGUUUACAGAGGAAGGCCGUGUUGACCAUACUAUGCUGAAGACUUUAUUAUUUUAGGAUGGUGUAAGUUGCAGGUUCAUAUAUAUAUAUAUGCGCACAUGCAGUAGCUGACUGUAUACUAUUACCAAUUAUGUACUAACUGCUUUUUAUAAUGCAUUGCUGUAACAUUAUCUAUGGCUGAAAUAGUACCACUGUUAUUGCGCUUGCUAAUCAUUUCUGGUUAUGGUGUAUAUUUGCUUAUGCUACAUGUUCUUAACCUUUCCUUCAUGGAUUAUUUAUUUUUCAGUGUACCAGCACCACCAUUACCAGACCCACUACAACCAAAAGUGGCAAACAACCCCUUAUAUCCACAGGCGAGUGCACUAACCACAAGAGUAGUGCCACCACAUUAUGAGCAUCUCAAUGACCAACAUGUUAAUUCUAUACAAGGAAAACAAGAGGAGCCUUAGAAGGCAGCAUCCAGUAAGUGUCUAACGAAGGGAUAGAAAUAAAAUUGAUGCUGCAGGAAGCAAAAGAUAUACUGGUUCAUUUGACGGAACUGGUAACUAAAGACAAGCCUGCUCCAGCAAGGGAUACUCAUCUGUUGCCAGAAGAUUUAAUCCUUCCAGUUAGAACACAGCAGGAGCUGUUAGAGCUGGAAUGAUGAUGACUCCUUUCAUGAAUUACUCAUCAAAAGCCUCUCUUUUGUGUGUGUGGUACAGACGCAAAGGAUUGUGUGAAAAGAAUCGUGUGGCAAAUCCUGAUCGACAAGGUUGCUAGGAAUUAUAACUGAACAGGUAAAAAGGGAGAGAAGCGUGCUUUCAAGGGACUUAAAGAUGCAGACCAUGAUCUGCAGUAAGUGAUGUAUAAAUAUUAGUUUAUAUUAUUAGACUAUAGCUAUAUGAUAUAUUUUAUAUACAUAUUUUAACCCAAAAGAGGUACUGAUAUAAGUGCUCAUUUUUGUGUAAUAUAUGUUGACAUAUUUCAUUGCUAACUCCACCAACAUUUUCUUUAACUCCUUAUUGUAAAUUGUCACCAUUUGUUGUACAUAUGAUUGAUUGUUAUUGUGUAAUAUAGUUGCAGUGCUGAAAUAUGUUUUAAUAAAAAGGAAAGUUUUAA
Pomacea canaliculata is the source of this 3848-nucleotide long non-coding RNA. RefSeq lists it as uncharacterized. The record is from RefSeq and is a predicted model, not a curated record. The transcript is spliced from 6 exons. NCBI's taxonomy places the organism in Eukaryota, Metazoa, Mollusca, Gastropoda, Architaenioglossa, Ampullariidae.